GGAUUGUGGCUCAGUGGUAUAGCACUUGCCUAGUGUGUAUGAGGCCCUGGGUUCCAUUCUCAGCACCA
This 68-nucleotide transfer RNA is filed under the name Marmota monax (woodchuck). RNAcentral's name for it is "tRNA.Thr". The stretch from base 5 to 65 matches the Rfam family "tRNA", at positions 6 to 65 of the family's 71-position model. From Rfam's summary of the family: Transfer RNA (tRNA) molecules are approximately 80 nucleotides in length. The record is from RNAcentral. Lineage: Eukaryota; Metazoa; Chordata; Mammalia; Rodentia; Sciuridae.